RNAcentral lists this long non-coding RNA (7728 nucleotides) under Homo sapiens (human). RNAcentral describes it as "HSALNT0010378". The record is from RNAcentral. Lineage: Eukaryota; Metazoa; Chordata; Mammalia; Primates; Hominidae.
UUCUUCUAGUGCAAAAAAAAAAAAAGAAAACUAGCUUUAUUGAGGUAUUGAGAUAUAGUUCACCCAUUACAGUGUACAAAUCACUGUAUUUGUAUACUCUAUCCUGUAAUUGUAUUAAAAUAAAGUUUACCCAUUUACAAUGUACAAAUCAAUAGAUUUUAGUGUAUUCACAGUUAUGCAACCAUCGUAACAAUCAAUUUUAGAAUAUUUUCAUUACCCUAAGAGACUCCAUACUCAUUAUUAUAUUUUAUAAUAUUUUCAUUACUCUGCAAAGAAACUCCAUACUCAUUCUUAUUUGCUCCUCAUUCCUCUUCAAUGCCGCCAGUCCCCGGCAGCCACUAGUCUACUUUCUGUCUCUGUGUAUUUGUCUACUCUGGACAUUUCAUAUAAUUACAUAAAAGGUGGUCUUUUGUGUUUGGUUUCUAUAAUAUUGUAACACAGUAAGAAACAUAUAUUUGGUCUCUGUCCUUGGUUCCUGGCACUACAGCUCCUGAAACCCUGGGAGUCUCUGGAGAGAAGAGAGUAGCUUUUGUAUGCUAAUGAGAUGACUAGUGGUUGGAAUCUCCUAGAUAGCCUCAGGAUUGUAGGGGUGUGUGGGGCUAGUUGCCAAGGAAACCAACCCAACCAUAUCAUUAGAAGGUGUGAGCUUUCAAACCCCCCAACCUCUCAGGAAGGGAGAGGGGCUGAAGGUUAAGUUGAUCACAAAUGGCCAGUGAUGUAAUCGAUCAUGCCUACAUAAUGAGGCCUCCAUAAAAGUCCCCGAAAACUGGAUUGCUGAACAUGUGGAGGUACCUGGGGGGUGGCACAUCCAGAGAGGGUAUGGAAGAUCUGCAUUCCCUCCCCGAUACCUUGCCCUAUGUAUCUCUUCCAUCUUUCUGUCAAUCUGUAUCUUUUGUAAUAUCCUUUUAAUAAAUGGGUAAAUGUUUCAGGUGUUUCCCUGAGUUCUGUGAACCAGUCUAGCAAAUUAAACCCAAGAAGGAGAUCAUGGGAACCCUAAUUUAUAGCCAAUUGCAGUUAGAAAUUGCAAUUGGUAUCAGAAGUGGGGGGCAGUCUUGUGGGAAUGAGCCCUCGACCUGUGGGAUCUGAUGCUAAGUCCAGGUAAGUAGUGUCAGGGUGGAGUUAAAUUGUAGGACACCCAGUUAGUAUCUGCAAAAGAACUGUGUGGUGUGUGGAGAACCCCCCUACAUAUCUGGUGUCAGAAGUUCCUGUCGAGUGGUGUGUGAAAGUAGGAAAAACACUUUGUUUUUUCCUGUCCCUAUCAGCUUCUUUCACUAAGUAUAAAGUGUUUGAGGUUCACCCACGUUGCAGCACAUAUCAGUGCUUCAUUUAUUUUUACCGCCAAAUGAUAUUUCACCGUAUGGCUAUCCCACAAUUUGUUGAUCUGUUCAUCAGUCGAUGAACAUUUGGGUUGUUUCUUCUUUUUGGCUGUUAUGUAUAAUGCAGCUAUGAAAUUCAUGUACAAUGUUUGUGUGAACAUAUGCUUUCCUUUCUCUUAGGUAUAUACAUAGAAGUAGAAUUUCUGGGUCAUAUGGUAAAUUUAUUUUAAACCUUUCAGGAACUGCCAGACUGUUUUUGGCUGCACCAUUUUACAUUCCUAUCAGCAGAGUGUAAAGGUUCCAAUUUCUUCUCCACAUCCUUACCAACACUUUUUUUUAUUUUUUUUUAAGACAGAAUCUCACUCUGUUGCCAGGCUGGAGUGCAGUGGUGCGAUCUCGGCUCACUGCAACCUCCACCUCCCAGGUUCAAGCAAUUCUUCUGUCUCAGCUUCCUGAGUAGCUGGGCGCGUGCCACCACACCCAGCUAAUUUUUGUAUUUUCAGUAGAGAUGGGGUUUCACCAUGUUGGCCAGGCUGGUCUCGAUCUCUUGACCUCGUGAUCCACCCACCUCGGCCUCCCAAAGUGCUGAGAUUACAGGCAUGAGCCAUCGCGCCCGGCACCAACACCUUUUAUUAUUUGUUGUUUUGAUCAUAGUUAUCCUAGUGUGUGUGAAGAUUUUGAUUUGCAUUUCUGUGGUGACUAAAGAUGUUGAGCGUCUUUUCAUGUGUUUAUUGGUCAUUUAUAUAUCUUCUUUGGAGAAAUGUUUGUUCAGGUCCUUUGCCUACUUUAAAAUUGGGUUAUGUAUAUUUUUAUAAUUGAAUCAUAAGAGUUCUUUUUUUUUCUUUUCUGUUUUUUUGUUUUGUUUUGUUUUUUAUUGUUGUUGUUUUGGGACAGGGUCUCUCUCUGUUACUUAAGCUGGAAUGCUGCAGCCUUGACCUCCCAGGCUCAAUAAAUCCUCCCAUCUCAUCUUCCUGAGUAGCUGGGACUACUGGUGCACAUUACCAUGCCUGGCUAAUUUUUGUAAUUUUUAUAGAGAUGGGGUCACACCAUGUGAAUACAAUACAAUACAAUACAAUCACAGGAUAGAGUAUACAAAUACAGGCUCUUCUCAAAGUCCUGGGCUCAAGCAAUCCCCCUGCCUCAGCCUCCCAAAGUGCUGGGAUUACUGGUGUGAGCCACUGUGCCGGGCCAGAGUUCUUUAUAUGUUUUAGAUACAAGCCUCUUGUUAGAUAUAAUGAUUUGCACAAUUUUUCUCUCAUUUUGUGCGUUGUCUUUUCACUUUCUUAAUGAUAUCCUUUGAAGCACAAAGAUUUUAAUUUUGAAGAUAUCCAAUUUAGCUAUUUUUUUUCUUUAGUUGCUUAUGCUUUUGGAAUUUUAUUCCAGUGUUGUUUUGAAAGCUAUUUUUUUUUCCCAGCUUCCCGUUCAGGGUUAGAAAAAUUGUCUGAUUUCUCUUUCCUGCCCAAAAUUACUUAGAAUAGUAUAAGCUAAUAUUUACCAACCACUUACUAUGUCUCAGGCUCUUGUUAGAGUUCAGACAGCUUGGGUAAUCAGUGCGGGAUCUCAAGGCUAAGGAUGAAUUCAGCUAAUCUCACUCUGGAGCCCAUACUCUUCAAUCGCUUCACUGUGCUACUGAUCAGGUCUUCCUCAUCUUGACUGUUUCAUUUUUGCAGGAGGAAAAUGGUGUAUUUGCUGUUAGUGUUAGACAAGUUAUUCUGCCUACUCUUUGUUCUCUUCCCUUUUCUGAGGUAAGUCCCCUGCCCCACCCUUUCUAGAAUUGCCAGAAUCUACAAACUGUCCAAAACACACAUGUACUCAUCCAAAAAGGCAAAACAACACCCUCAUUCAUGACACAGAAUUCUCAAAGCCCUGGUGUCACAGCUGCAGUCUCUCCCUGACCCUUGCCUCACCCUAACUGUGCUGAGUCUUCUCUUUGGUUGUGAUAGCCUAGGGUGUGACAUCCAGGGACAGCUUUGACACCCUCGGAUGUAAGUGCCAUGCUGUGGCUUGCCUUGGAACCCACAAGAAGGGCCCAGGUUCAAAAUCCUUUAACUGUCAGUUGAAUCAAACAUGAUCAUGUGGAGCAGUACACAACAAAAGCAAGUCAGACUGCCUUCUCAGGUGUUUCCUUUCACUUUGGCAAUAUCGAUGUUUAAACUUCAAGUUUAUUAUUAUUAUUUUAAAUAAGUGAGGUCAGAAUUACCCAACAGGAGCCCAAGAACUUCUUACCCCGCACUGCAACCCCCCAUUCUGCAGUAUCCAAUUACCUAUGAAAUCCAUUUGCAUCUACUUCAGAAAUAUCUCUCAGCCUCCCUCUCCCAUUGAAUCUUUCCUGCCACUGCAUCAGUUCAGAUCUCUAUCAUCUCUUAGGUGGACUAAUUCAUCUCAUUUCUGUCUUUUUUUUUUUUUUUUUCUUUAGACAGGUCUCACUCUGUCACCCAGGCUGGAGUACAGUGGCCUGAUCAUGCUGAUUGCAGCCUCAACCUCCUGGGCCCAAGCAAUCCUCCUGCCUCAGUCUCCUGAGUAGCUGGGACUACAGAUGCAUGCCACCAUAGCUGGCUAAAUUUUUUGUAGAGACAGGGUCUCACUAUGUUGCUGAGGCUGGUCUCAAACUCCUGGGCUCAAGCAAUCCUCCUGCCUCAGCUUACCAAAUAGCUGGGGCUACAGGUGCAUACUGUUGUGCCUGGCUCAUUUUUUUUUUUUAGUUUUUGUAGAGACGGGGUCUCACUAUGUUGACCAGUCUUUGUUUCUCAGUCUUUUCUUCAAUCCAAUUGAAUUAAAUUGAAUUAUCUCUUCAUGGUUGUCUUCCUCAGUAGAUUAUGAGGCUGAGGCAGGAGAAUCACUUGAACCCGGGAGGCAGAGUUUGCAGUGAGCAGAGAUCUUGCCACUGUACUACAGCCUGGGCGACAGAGUGAGACUCUGUCUCAAGAAGAAAAAAAAAAAGAAAAGAGUCUGCCACCUAAAGGCAUUUAAUUAGCAUUUGUGAAAGAAAUAGUAGUCCAGUUGGUAAUUUCCCCACUGCUUGCAAGACCUCACAAAAGGCCUUGUAAUAAAAACAAUUAAAUCUCAUGUGACCCAGGUGUGUCAGGAAUGCCUUCCUAUUCUGCUAUGUGGAUGAGUUUUGCUAGUUUUCAAGGUUUAGUCAAGGCAAAGGAGAUAGCUUGUCUCCUACGAUUAGCGAGUCAUCUGCUAGCCUGUGGAGGGACAAACAGGUACGAUACUCCUUCGUCACUCAUCACAAUGGUCAUGGCAGACACUUCUAUAACAAAAGACAAGUUAGCAAGAGAAAAGCAUGACAAAUUUAUUUAACAAAGUUUUAAAUGACAUGGGAGACUUCAGAAAUGAAGAACCAAAGACCCAGGAAAAGCUGGGUAUUCUUAUGCUUAGGUUUGCUGACAAAUGGACAGUCACGUAGAAAUGAGAUUGGACAACAAGGGUAUGCUGCAAUAAUGGUAAUCAACUGAGGGGAAUGCAGCAAGGCCUGUCUGUUCUGCUUCUUCUUGGCCCCCUAUGUAGCUCUGGGUAUAGCACAAGACACUUGUCACAUGAAGGUCUUCAGGGAAGAGGGGAGAAUGUCAGAGAGUGACAUUUCUAGGUUUUAUGGCCUGCUUCAGGGGAGAGGAGUUAGAAUUUCUAUGACCCAUCUUGAGGAAGACUUAUUCUGGUUUUAUGAGUUGCUUCAGGGGAGAAAGAGAGUCUGGAGAUAGGAGGGUGGGAGAAGGUCGGAAAUAUGUUGCUUCUGAGGCCCUUGCAAUCUCCUUCAGUUCAAAGUACUCAGCAUGCCAAAGCACCACACUUUAGGGCACUGUGUUUUGAGCCCCAACACCAGUAAACUCCUCCUUAUCUUAGUUAUGGGGGGGAGUCUGGCCUGUAACCCUCUCGGACCCAUCUCUGCUAGGGACCACCAACUGAUCAGGAUAUUUGUUUCUCAAACACAUAUGCAUCCAUUUCCGCAAGCUCAAACACCCUCUGGACACUAAUCUUUUCCAAAAAAAUGUAGAUAAGCAUUGCAAAAUCAUUCGGAAGAGGAGGACCAACAGUUAUAACCCUCUCUGAGUAACCUGCUCCCUACGACCAUAUGAGGAAAGGAGGUGAGCAGACGGGACAAGGACUCACAAUUUAGACCUUUACAAGAUAUCCCAAAUGGCUGUUACCUUGCUCUCUGUCUCCUCAGGUUUCUGCUGUCCUCCUCUUCGAUCUUCCCUCUGAGAUUCCUUUUCUAAUGAUCCCAUCCCUUUGCCUCAGAAAUCAGUCCCAUUCUCAAAAAGAGAAAGUGGUCCCAGUUGCUGCUGUCUCUUCUUAUGAAGUGCAAAGAUGAAUGCCUUGGGCUUCUGCUGAGUGUUAAAGGCAGAUUCCCUUGGCUUAUCCUUCUGCUGACUCUAAAGUGGGAGGAAUGUGGCUACCCCUGUAGUGGAACUUCUUGAAAUGCUUUUCCCCCUUGGGCAGUGAGGGCUGAUGGCUGAGGCCAAUUUCCUCCUGAAAUACCUAAGGACAAAUAUUUCCCCAUAAUCAGUAUUGCUCAUCUUUCAAAGACAAUGGGGGUCAGUAACACAGGAGCAAAGUAUUUUUCAGGCUUUUUAAAUUUUUGGAGCUGAAAUAUCACUAUGUUGCCCAGAACGGCCUCCAACUCCUGGGCUCAAGUGAUUCUCCUGCCUCAGCCUCCUGAGUAGCUGGGAUGACAGGCAUGUACUCUAGCCCCAUGCCUGGGUUUUUUUUUUUUUUCCCAGCAUAUUAAUAUGUUCUUCACUUCACCCUAUUAUAUCAUUGUGGUAAAGGAGUUUCUGUUGUCUUCCUGGCCCUUUUCAGUUCAAAAGUCUGUCAGUUGAGAAUGUUUGUUUACUUCCUACCACAGAGUUUUUUUUAUCCUAAAAGCUCUCCCUAGAUGGAGUGGGGGUGGGGAGGAUCUCCCUUAUCCUGCCAAGCAAACUAAAUAGAAACUUGAAAGUUUACAUAUAACUGGAGUGGGGUGGCUCAGAUGCCUGUAAACCCAGCACUUUGGGAGGCUGAGAUGAGAGGAUUGCUUGAAGCCAGGAGUUCAAAACCAGCCUAUGCAACAUAGCGAGACCCUGUUUUUUCCAAAAAAGACAGAAAGAAAGAAAUUAGCUAGGUGUGGUGGCACACACCUGUAGUCCCAGCUCCUCAGGAGGCUAAGGCAGGUGGAUCGCUUGAGUCCAGGAGUUCAAGGUUACAGUGAGCUAUGAUCAUGCCACUGUACUCCAGCUUGGGUGACAGAACAAGAUCCUGUCUUUCUCUAAAAUAAAAAUAAAAUAAAGUAAAAUAAAAACAAUAAAUAAUUUUUAAAAAAUUUUAAAGAAGUUUGCAUACAGAAUUAGCAAGAUAAUUAUAAAGGCUAUGUUUAUGGAUUUGUAAUUGCCUAACAGGUUCUUACCCACUGCACAGGUAAAUGCAAUUCACUGAGACAGUAUUAUUGCAGUAAAGAGUUUAAUUAACACAAGGCCAGCCAAGCAGAACUGAAGUUAUUACUCAAAUCAGUCUCCCCAGCAACUCAGAGGCCAGGGUUUUUAUGGAUAAUUUGGUGGGUAGGGAGCAAGGGAAGGGGUGCUGCUCAUAGGUUAGGAAUGAAAUCACAGGGGUGUGGAAAACAAUUACGUGCACUGAGUCAGCCUCUGGGUGGGGCCACAGGACUGGCUGAAGCCUGAGCCUCAGGUCUGGGUGAGGUCAAUCAGUUGCCAGAAUGUAAAAAUCUGAAAAGUAUCUCAAAAGACCAAUUUUAGGUUCUACAUUAGUGAUGUUAUCUACAUGAGCAACUGGGGAAGUCACAAAUCUUGUGACCACAUGACUCUGACCACAUGACUCCUGAGCAGUAAGGAUUAUAUAAAAUAUGCCUGUAGUUUAGCAGAAUUCAGGCCCCUCCCAUAAUCUUAAUCUUGUGGUCUCUCAGUCUUACAAAGGUGGUUUCAGUCUGUUAAUAAAGAGAUUACUUUUAGAAAAGGACUAUUAUCAUCUUGCUUUAAAGUUAAACUAUAGGCUGGGAGUGGUGGCUCAUGCCUGUAAUCUCAAGCACUUUGGGAGGCCGAGAUGGGAGUAUGGCUUGAGACCAGCAGUUUGAGACCAGCCUGGUCAACAUAGCAAGACCUCAUCCCUAUUUAGUUAAAAAAAAAAAAAAAAAGGUAAACUAUGACUAUAUGACUAAAUUCCUCCCAUGGUUAGCUUGGUCUAUGCCCAGCAAUGAGGAAAGACAGCCAGGCUGUGAGGCUAGAAGCAAGAUGGAGUCAGCCAUGCUAGACUGGUCUCGCUAUCAUAAUCUCUGCAAAGGUGGUUUCAGAUUCAGGGCCUUGCUCUACAAAAUGUCCUUAAAAAUAUGAUGCCUUCAAUUUCAGAGGAAAUAGUGAGAUUUCUAAACAACAUGUGACUUUUUGCCUAGGAGCUAAAAGCUUUCAACUCCUCUUCUUCC